This 449-nucleotide ribosomal RNA is filed under the name uncultured bacterium. RNAcentral describes it as "partial 16S ribosomal RNA". It matches the Rfam family "Bacterial small subunit ribosomal RNA", at positions 29 to 523 of the family's 1533-position model. The record is from RNAcentral.
AGCGAACGCUGGCGGCAGGCCUAACACAUGCAAGUCGAACGAACUCUUCGGAGUUAGUGGCGGACGGGUGAGUAACACGUGGGAACGUGCCUUUAGGUUCGGAAUAACUCAGGGAAACUUGUGCUAAUACCGAAUGUGCCCUUCGGGGGAAAGAUUUAUCGCCUUUAGAGCGGCCCGCGUCUGAUUAGCUAGUUGGUGAGGUAAAGGCUCACCAAGGCGACGAUCAGUAGCUGGUAGGAGAGGAUGAUCAGCCACAUUGGGCCUGGGACACGGACCAAACUCCAACGGGAGGCAGCAGUGGGGAAUCUUGCGCAAUGGGCGAAAGCCUGACGCAGCCAUGCCGCGUGAAUGAUAGAGGUCUUAGGAUUGUAAAAUUCUUUCCCCGGGGACGAUAAUGACGGUACCCGGAGAAGAAGCCCCGGCUAACUUCGUGCCAGCCGCCGCCGUAA